RNAcentral lists this ribosomal RNA (433 nucleotides) under uncultured bacterium. RNAcentral's name for it is "partial 16S ribosomal RNA". It matches the Rfam family "Bacterial small subunit ribosomal RNA", at positions 29 to 507 of the family's 1533-position model. The record is from RNAcentral.
AACGAACGCUGGCGGCAUGCCUAACACAUGCAAGUCGAACGAGACCUUCGGGUCUAGUGGCGCACGGGUGCGUAACGCGUGGGAACCUGCCCUUAGGUUCGGAAUAACUCCCCGAAAGGGGUGCUAAUACCGGAGAAUGUCUUCGGACCAAAGAUUUAUCGCCUUUGGAUGGGCCCGCGUUGGAUUAGCUAGUUGGUAGGGUAAAAGCCUACCAAGGCGACGAUCCAUAGCUGGUCUGAGAGGAUGAUCAGCCACACUGGGACUGAGACACGGCCCAGACUCCUACGGGAGGCAGCAGUGGGGAAUAUUGGACAAUGGGCGAAAGCCUGAUACAGCAAUGCCGCGUGAGUGAUGAAGGCCUUAGGGUUGUAAAGCUCUUUUACCCGGGAUGAUAAUGACAGUACCGGGAGAAUAAGCUCCGGCUAACUCCGUG